Molecule: long non-coding RNA, 3698 nt
Organism: Oncorhynchus tshawytscha (Chinook salmon)
Lineage: Eukaryota; Metazoa; Chordata; Actinopteri; Salmoniformes; Salmonidae
Source: Ensembl
GAGAAAAUUCCCUCUAGUGGACAUGUUGCUUCUGUUCAGUGUCACAUGUCUAACUUCAGUUCAAUCAAUCCAGGGUUGUAUUCACAAGGGACCAAAUGAAAGCCGAUUGGGAAUUGUUUUGCUACUGUGUACUAAUGAACUGUCGCUGGGCAAAAAAAUACAGUCUUCAGGUACUGUAACUACUUAUAUAAUAAAUAAUGAUGAAGAUUAUUUUCCUUCUUUGUGCAGUAAUUUCAUACAUUUUCCUCACAAUGGGUUUACAGCUUUUGGUUCCUUAAAACUUAUGAAAACAGUUUACAUCUUAGAACAUGAAAGAAUGCAGAUUAGCCUCCCCAUCAAUUAUGAUUUUCAUUUGUUUAAAGAUUGUAGUAUUUAAAAACAACAAUUGAAAAUAUUUACAAAACCUUCCGUGUAACAUCUUUCUCACUGCCCUGUGUUUAAUGAACAGUAUCAAGGUGCGCCAUUUGAACAGGAAUUUCACAGUGCGAAAUAUACCCAGAAAUAUCACACAAUAUUCUGCAUUUUACAUGUUUUAUCUGGACAAAGUAAAAAAGCUUUAAUCUCAAUGAUAUCAUUAAUAAUAAACAAAGUCACAUAUAAAAACAUACAAAAUAGGGUAAGGUACAUAUGGGGUAAGGUACAUAUGGGGUACGGUAAAUAUGGGGUACGGUACAUAUGGGGUACGGUACAUAUGGGGUAAGUUACAUAUGGGGUAAGGUACAUAUGGGGUAAGGUACAUAUGGAGUACGGUACAUAUGGGGUAAGUUACAUAUGGGGUGAGGUACAUAUGGAGUACGGUACAUAUGGGGUAAGUUACAUAUGGGGUAAGGUACAUAUGGGGUAAGGUACAUAUGGGGUAAGGUACAUAGGCCUCAAGCAGACAUGUAUUGUAUUGCUUUUACAGUGACUUCUGUGAACUGUCUAGGAAAGAUGGGAAACCAUAAACUCAAAGUGACAAAUUAAAAUGACAUAUACUGAAUAUUGAAGGACAUACAGGACUGCCUUCGAGCUCCUGUCAAAAUGGACACAAAACCUACUAUUACAAUUUAGCUUAAAACAAAUUAAAUAAAAAAGAUCAUCAUUAAACCAAAAGCGAUGCUGAUGAACAAUAAAUAGCCUACAAGUGAGGUUAAUGCAUUAAUAGAUUAUAGUUUUAUUACAAUAUUAUAUUGUCUUUUUUUUGUACCUAUUAUCAAAUCACUUGACAAUCACUUCAUAUACAGACAGGAGUCCUCUCUCAUCUUGGCCUCUUACACUACGAAAUAACAUGUCUUCAUUUUGUUAGAAUUGGCAAAUAGUCAUAACUUUACACACAAACAUCUCAAGAGGUACAUAUGGGGUACGGUACAUAUGGGGUACGGUACAUAGUAGAGCUGAGCAAAAAUCACCAACAACAAAAAAGAUCAAAGAGCCCUGACUAGUUCCAUGCAGGCUGGCAUAGAGAUAGGUCAAUCAUAUCUGUAUCUACAGUGCCAACUGCCAAGUUUGCACUUAAGCAAGAAGGAACAGAUACUGUAGAAGGGUUGGAAGGAAUUGUGGGAGGUGUAGUCUUGCUGUGGACGGCAUUCACCUCAAGUUACCUCAAUACAGCAACAGAUUUCUCAGUCAAUAUGUAACGCCAUCACCAGCAACAUGAUAGCAGUAAAAUGUGAACUGAAACGAUCACUAUAUAAAUAUAAGACAAUUGCUGCCCCUUGCAGAACACAAAAUGUUUUGCAAUGUUUCUCCAAAAUGAUCACGAUCAACCAGCAGGUGAAGAUGUUUACGUUACCUUGAAACUGAUACCAAUUCUCUCUGAUUAAUAAUUGACUCUAGUCCAUCGUUUUUCAUGUUUACUGUUGCGUUCCAUUAAACUGACUUCAUGGAGGCGGGCCUGGGCAAGACAUAGACAUAGAUCUGCAUUUUCCAGCAGCAUAAAGAGGAAGGACAAAACAAAAGAAACUGCUGCGGUAGCACUGUUGAAGCAACAGGCUGGCUGUUGGUAACAAGGUUGGUUUAAUGUUACAAUAAGUUCCAGAUAUUACACAAAGUCAAAUCAAAGGAUGACUUCAAAAUGGCACCCUAUUCCUUCUAGUCAAAAGUAAUGUACUAUUUAGCAUAACAUUUCUUCUCAUACACAUUGUAGCAGAAUGAAAGCCCAGGGAGGACAGUGGCAGGCACAGCAGUAUCCAUUGAAACCUGAUGAUCAACAAAUCUUUGGUCAAAUGAAACAUGUUUUAUUGCACUGUACAGUCUUGCGAAACCUCAGAGGCGAAAUUAGUUUCACUUCAUCUUUUUGAAAAAGUGCUGUGUACACUCGUGAACAAUGUUCCCUCUAAACUGCGCAUGUGCAGCUCCCCGGGACUGAUAAGCAGAAGAAAUAUCAGCCCUGUGCGAGUCUGAACUUUACUCAACUUUCUAGAGUUUUCCCAGUUAGUUAACACUAUCAGUGUUUCCCUUUACUGUGGGAAUUGUGAUCGAAUGAACGCAAUAUCAGCCACUUUCAAUACAACAUACCAAAACAAAACAAACAGUGCAAUACUUACUAUGCAAAACUAAAUAUAUAAAAGAUUUUGUUGUAGGCAGAACGCAUCAGAGUAGGAUUCUAUUGCAUUGACAGGCAGACUUGUACUCUACACAGACCAGUGUGCCAUAACCAAUCAGAGCUGCAGUAGGCCUAUAUACAAAUAGACCAUUGUCAUAUAUAGAUCUGUGCCAUUCACUUUGAACUGGACUGCUUUUACAGCAUGAGCGGUUGUGAGUAGAUCAAAGCAAGAACUAUAUGUAGCGACUUGUGCACAUUUGUACAUUUGUUCACUAGUUAGUGAGUUAUUAGCCCAGUUAUUGAUAAUUUGUAGUCAGAAAUGGGGGGUGAUUGCUUCCUACAAGAACACAAAACGUGUGCAUUUCAGCCUUGAAUACACUAAGUAGCCAAAGCCAGAGGGUAGCAUAAUUUGUGUCAUUCUCUGGAAUAAUGGUAUGGGAAUAAUGAUGCAAGUGGUUUCUUGCAUCAAACAACACAACAACAUUUUCAAUCACCUCCUUGUUUGAAGGACAAGUGGAUAAACAGGUUCAUGUCAAGUCCUACAUGUUUUUUUCAAAAGUCUCAUGGAAUGUAGACUUACAUUGAACACCGCACAUUGGCUGCUACUGUUGGCUGAAUGACAGAACAGCUAUUUCCAUGUUAUAAUGUUAUGGGAUGCAUUUUCUCCAUUGUUUAUUAUGGUAGGCCACUCUGGUAGGCCUACAUUAUGAUCAAAUAGCCACAGUACCCUACUUGACCACUGUUAAAACUAACUUAAAGCAGGAACAACCUGUAAACCUGCACCGGAAGUUGCAAAGAAUUUUCACAGUAUUCAAAUUUGCUCUUAGCAGACCUGAGUUUUAACAAUCAUGCUGGUAGAAUCUACAGUUUACCUACACCAUGGCAACUCUGUAUAUAACCAUUUAUGUUAGGCUUUUAAACAUAGGCUGUUAAAGAGUUAUAUCAUUUGUAAUCAACCACAGUGCUUAAAGGCUGGCAUCCUCAGUAGAUUAUGAAGAAACAAAUGCCUCAAAUCAGAAUGACCUGAGUGCCAAAGUGACUGCCACCGAACACUUAACAGGAAACAGUCCAUCAAAGGACAGUGAAGGUGACAAGCUCCUUAUUGAUCGUCAAGGAAACAGCCCCUUCCAGAGACUGCCAGUUAACUAAUCAUCUCCUGUCGCUGUUUAGACCU